This 497-nucleotide ribosomal RNA is filed under the name uncultured bacterium. RNAcentral's name for it is "partial 16S ribosomal RNA". It matches the Rfam family "Bacterial small subunit ribosomal RNA", at positions 28 to 507 of the family's 1533-position model. The record is from RNAcentral.
GAUGAACGCUGGCGGCGUGCCUAAUACAUGCAAGUAGAACGCUGAAGGAAGGAGCUUGCUCUUUCCGGAUGAGUUGCGAACGGGUGAGUAACGCGUAGGUAACCUGCCUGGUAGCGGGGGAUAACUAUUGGAAACGAUAGCUAAUACCGCAUAACAGUAGAUGUUGCAUGAUAUCUACUUAAAAGGUGCAAUUGCACCACUACCAGAUGGACCUGCGUUGUAUUAGCUAGUUGGUGAGGUAACGGCUCACCAAGGCGACGAUACAUAGCCGACCUGAGGGGGUGAUCCGCCAAACUGGGACUGGGACAACGCCCAGACUCCUACGGGAGGCAGCAGUAGGGAAUCUUCGGCAAAGGACGGAAGUCUGACCGAGCAACGCCGCGGGAGGGAAGAAGGUUCUCGGAUCGUAAAGCUCUGUUGUAAGGGAAGAACGAGUGUGAGAGUGGAAAGUUCACACUGUGACGGUAUCUUACCAGAAAGGGACGGCUAACUACGUG